Molecule: long non-coding RNA, 544 nt
Organism: Ictalurus punctatus (channel catfish)
Lineage: Eukaryota; Metazoa; Chordata; Actinopteri; Siluriformes; Ictaluridae
Exons: 2
Source: RefSeq, a predicted model, not a curated record
GAUAAAAUAAAGUGAAGAUGAAAAUACAAUGUGACAAAGUGAUAGAAUGCAGAGAGCUCUAGGGACAGAGGAAGCAAAAAUUGGCGAUGAACGUGAGAAGGUGCCACCUGGGGUGCCAGUAUUAACCGCCGCAUGCGACGUGACGUGAUCCACGUCUUCCGUCGCACUCGAUUGGACAGAUCGCGAGUGAAAAUUCUAUUUCGAAGACAUGGCAAAUUGAUUCGUGGGGAGUCUGGAGCCUAUACCAGGGAACUCGGGGCGCAAGGCACGGGACAACAUGGACGGGGUGCCAACCCAUUGCAGGGCACACUUUGGAAACGUCGAUCAGACUACAACGCAUGUCUUUGGACUGCGGGAGGAAACAAGGGUACCCGGAGGAAACCCCCGGAGCACGGGGAGAACAUACAAACUCAUGCAUACAGGGCGGAAGUGGGACCCGAACCCCCAACCCCGGCGGUGCGAGGCAAACCUGCUAACCACCCUAGCUAAUAAACAUCAACUUUUAUUGCAGAAUAUUGUGGAAUAAAUUUCAGGAAUGAUUAUA